Molecule: non-coding RNA, 77 nt
Organism: Podarcis lilfordi (Lilford's wall lizard)
Lineage: Eukaryota; Metazoa; Chordata; Lepidosauria; Squamata; Lacertidae
Source: the annotation of a GenBank genome assembly
GUCUCACUGGACAGCUCAGACGGUAGAGUAUGAGACUCUUAAGUUCAAGAUUGUGGGUUCAAGCCCCACGUUGGGCA